Molecule: ribosomal RNA, 1019 nt
Filed under: uncultured bacterium
Lineage: Bacteria
Description: bacterial SSU rRNA
Rfam family: Bacterial small subunit ribosomal RNA
Source: RNAcentral
UGAGGAAUAUUGGUCAAUGGGCGAGAGCCUGAACCAGCCAAGUAGCGUGCAGGAUGACGGCCCUAUGGGUUGUAAACUGCUUUUAUAAGGGAAUAAAGUGAGCCUCGUGAGGCUUUUUGCAUGUACCUUAUGAAUAAGGACCGGCUAAUUCCGUGCCAGCAGCCGCGGUAAUACGGAAGGUCCGGGCGUUAUCCGGAUUUAUUGGGUUUAAAGGGAGCGUAGGCCGGAGAUUAAGCGUGUUGUGAAAUGUAGGCGCUCAACGUCUGCACUGCAGCGCGAACUGGUUUCCUUGAGUACGCACAAAGUGGGCGGAAUUCGUGGUGUAGCGGUGAAAUGCUUAGAUAUCACGAAGAACUCCGAUUGCGAAGGCAGCUCACUGGAGCGCAACUGACGCUGAAGCUCGAAAGUGCGGGUAUCGAACAGGAUUAGAUACCCUGGUAGUCCGCACGGUAAACGAUGGAUGCCCGCUGUUGGUCUGAACAGGUCAGCGGCCAAGCGAAAGCAUUAAGCAUCCCACCUGGGGAGUACGCCGGCAACGGUGAAACUCAAAGGAAUUGACGGGGGCCCGCACAAGCGGAGGAACAUGUGGUUUAAUUCGAUGAUACGCGAGGAACCUUACCCGGGCUUGAAUUGCAGAGGAAGGAUUUGGAGACAAUGACGCCCUUCGGGGCCUCUGUGAAGGUGCUGCAUGGUUGUCGUCAGCUCGUGCCGUGAGGUGUCGGCUUAAGUGCCAUAACGAGCGCAACCCCUCUCCUUAGUUGCCAUCAGGUCAUGCUGGGCACUCUGGGGACACUGCCACCGUAAGGUGUGAGGAAGGUGGGGAUGACGUCAAAUCAGCACGGCCCUUACGUCCGGGGCUACACACGUGUUACAAUGGCAGGUACAGAGAGACGGUCCCUUGCAAAAGGGAUCAAAUCCUCAAAGCCUGUCUCAGUUCGGACUGGGGUCUGCAACCCGACCCCACGAAGCUGGAUUCGCUAGUAAUCGCGCAUCAGCCGUGGCGCGGUGAAUACGUUCCC